Molecule: ribosomal RNA, 730 nt
Filed under: Simplicispira metamorpha
Lineage: Bacteria; Pseudomonadati; Pseudomonadota; Betaproteobacteria; Burkholderiales; Comamonadaceae
Description: bacterial SSU rRNA
Rfam family: Bacterial small subunit ribosomal RNA
Source: RNAcentral
UUGCUCCAGGGUAACUGUCCAGGUUAAACCUUACUUUGGAAAUUGUCUCAAGGUAGUCUGAGAGGUUAACCCUUCACACUGGGACUGACACACGGCCCACACUCCUACUGAACGCAGCCUUGGGGAAUUUUGGACAAUGGGCGAAAGCCUGAUCCAGCAAUGCCGCGAGCAUGAUGAAGGCCUUCAGGUUGUAAACUGCUUUUGUACGGAACAAAAAGACUCUGGUUAAUACCUGGGGUUCAUGACGGUACCGUAAGAAUAAGCACCUGCUAACUACGUGCCAGCAGCCGCGGUAAUACAUAAGGUGCAAGCGUUAAUCGGAAUUACUGGGCGUAAACAUGCGCAGGCGGUGAUGUAAUACAGAUGUCAAAUCCCCGGGCUCAACCUGGGAACUGCAUUAGUGACUGCAUCGCUCGAGUGCCGCAAAGGGGGAUGGAAUUCCGCGUGUAGCUGUGAAGUGCGUAGAUAUGCGGAGGAACACUCAUCGCGAAGGCAUCCCCUGGGCCUAACUGACGCUCAUGCACGAAGCAUGGGGACCAACAGCUUAGAUACCUGGUAGUCACGCCCUAACUAUCCAACUGUUGUUGGAAUUCAUUUCUCAGAACGAACCUACGCGUGAUUUGACCCCUCGGUACACGCCGCAAGUUACACCGAAGGAGUGACUGGACCGCCAAGCGAGGAUGAGUGGGUAAUUCGCCCACGCAGAAAGCUACGCGCUUUGACGGGACGA